GGUGGUUCAGCUUUAGCCGAGCUGCCUCAUGGAGUUGCAAGUAGAGGCUUCGCGGCUAGACAUCAUCGUGUCUGUGAGGCACUGCAGAUUUUCCUCGGUGAGCUGACGUUUGCCUGCCAUUCCCACUUUAAACUGAUUGACUGAUUCUUGUAAUUUGACCAAAUCGUGCUCGAGGUUGUCAAUGUGUUCUUUGUUCAAUGCCAUCCUGCUCUGAUACUAAUGAUAUGUCCGAGUCAGAGAGGUGAAUAAUUCUGCUUAUGGUGAAAAUAAAAACCAAACAAUUUGCUGUUAAAUCAAUAUGCUUUUAUUCGUCAAGCAUGGGUCCUUAAAUACAUAUAAAAAUUAACCAACUUUCCUACAUUUACGAAAAAUAUAAAAUUAAAAAUUGAAAGCUAACAACUACAAGAGUAAAAACUGAUGAGAUAAUAUAGAGUAAAAACUGAAGAGGAUUGACCAGUUCUGGUGGUGGC
This 470-nucleotide long non-coding RNA is filed under the name Carica papaya (papaya). Its description in RNAcentral is "long non-coding RNA (CPAP_LNC012850)". The record is from RNAcentral. Lineage: Eukaryota; Viridiplantae; Streptophyta; Magnoliopsida; Brassicales; Caricaceae.